This 369-nucleotide ribosomal RNA is filed under the name uncultured organism. Its description in RNAcentral is "bacterial SSU rRNA". It matches the Rfam family "Bacterial small subunit ribosomal RNA", at positions 526 to 896 of the family's 1533-position model. The record is from RNAcentral.
CGUAGGUGGCAAGCGUUGUCCGGAUUUAUUGGGUUUAAAGGGUGCGUAGGCGGCUUUGUAAGUCAGUGGUGAAAUACUCCAGCUCAACUGGAGAGGUGCCAUUGAUACUGCAGAGCUAGAGUACUGAUGAGGUAGGCGGAAUGGACGGUGUAGCGGUGAAAUGCUUAGAUAUCGUCCAGAACACCGAUAGCGAAGGCAGCUUACUAAAGAGUAACUGACGCUGAGGCACGAAAGUGUGGGGGAUCAAACAGGAUUAGAUACCCUGGUAGUCCACACUGUAAACGUUGAUCACUAGAUGUUGGCGAUACACUGCCAGCGUUCCAGCAAAAGCGAUAAGUGAUCCACCUGGGGAGUACGCCCGCAAGGGUG